AGGACGAACGCUUGCGACGUGCCUAAGAAAUGCAAGUCGAACGGGGGAGAGCUUCGGCUCGAACUAGUGGCGAACGGUCGCGUAACACGUGGGCAACCUGCCCUGAAGCGGGGGACAACAACUCGAAAGAGUUGCUAAUACCGCAUGUGAAUUGCUAUGGCAUCAUGGCGUAUUCAAAGCCGCAAGGCACUUCAGGAUGGGCCCGCGGCCUAUCAGCUAGUUGGUGAGGUAACGGCCCACCAAGGCUUCGACGGGUAGCUGGUCUGAGAGGACGAUCAGCCGGAUUGGGACUGAGAUACGGCCCAGACUCCUACGGGGGGCAGCAAUUAGGAAUCUUGCGCAAUGGGCGAAAGCCUGACGCAGCGACGUCGCGUGAAGGAUGAAAUCUUUCGGGAUGUAAACUUCUUUUACCAGGGUAAGAAUAAUGACGGUACCUGGUGAAUAAGCCCGGCUAACUACGCGCCAGCAGCCGCGGUAA
This 478-nucleotide ribosomal RNA is filed under the name uncultured bacterium. RNAcentral describes it as "SSU rRNA". It matches the Rfam family "Bacterial small subunit ribosomal RNA", at positions 26 to 523 of the family's 1533-position model. The record is from RNAcentral.